This 468-nucleotide ribosomal RNA is filed under the name uncultured bacterium. Its description in RNAcentral is "partial 16S ribosomal RNA". It matches the Rfam family "Bacterial small subunit ribosomal RNA", at positions 28 to 507 of the family's 1533-position model. The record is from RNAcentral.
GACGAACGCUGGCGGCGUGCUUAACACAUGCAAGUCGAACGGAAAGGCCCUGCUUUUGUGGGGUGCUCGAGUGGCGAACGGGUGAGUAACCCGUGAGUAACCUGCCCUUUACUUUGGGAUAACUUCAGACAACUGGGGCUAAUACCGGCUAGGAGCUCCUGCUGCAUGGUGGGGGUUGGACAGUUUCGGCGGUUGGGGAUGGACUCGCGGCUUAUCAGCUUGUUGGUGGGGUAGUGGCUUACCAAGGCUUUGAAGGGUAGCCGGCCUGAGAGGGUGACCGGGGACAUUGGGACUGCGAGACGGCGCAGAGUCCUACGGGAGGCAGCAGUGGGGAAUAUUGCACAAUGGGCGGAAGCCUGAUGCGGCAACGUCGCGUGCGGGAUGACGGCCUUCGGGUGGUAAACCGCUUUCGCCUGUGACGAAGCGUGAGUGACGGUAAUGGGUAAAGAAGCACCGGCUAACUACGUG